This 390-nucleotide unclassified non-coding RNA is filed under the name Hevea brasiliensis (rubber tree). The record is from RNAcentral. Lineage: Eukaryota; Viridiplantae; Streptophyta; Magnoliopsida; Malpighiales; Euphorbiaceae.
CUCCUGCAUUGUAGUUCGCUUCAAUGGGUAAAGCAAAAGAGAAAAUUCUUGCCUAGACCUGAUCGAUCAUAGACUUAAGACACAAACAUGAGGGUUUUGCUAUAAUAUGGGAUACAAUUCUAUAGGCUAACACCAGUUUGAAAUCUCAUGAAGUCCUGUUACUCUAAAAAUUACUUCAAAAUAGCUUAUUUCUUUCCCUUCCCCUUCUCUGUAUAAUUGUGUGGUUUGCUUUUGCUUGUGCGUGUAGAUUCAUAUACCUUGAUUUUUCUUUGCAAUUUGCAUCUUGAGAUGAAGCACUGUGGAGAUGGUUGUGUUUAUGUAAAACUGUGCAACUGUUGUAAUAGAAAAAUAUUUUAAUAUACAGUUGAAAUGUUGCUCAUGAGAAUGUUU